CGUGUAGGUGGACUGAUCAGUCAGGUGUGAAAGCCCGCGGCUUAACCGCGGAACUGCAUUUGAAACUGUCAGUCUUGAGUACGAGAGAGGGUAGUGGAAUUCCCAGUGUAGCGGUGAAAUGCGUAGAUAUUGGGAAGAACACCAGUAGCGAAGGCGGCUACCUGGCUCGUAACUGACGCUAAUGCGCGAAAGCGUGGGGAGCAAACAGGAUUAGAUACCCUGGUAGUCC
RNAcentral lists this ribosomal RNA (229 nucleotides) under uncultured bacterium. RNAcentral's name for it is "partial 16S ribosomal RNA". It matches the Rfam family "Bacterial small subunit ribosomal RNA", at positions 568 to 796 of the family's 1533-position model. The record is from RNAcentral.